ACUUGGCUGGCUCAGUUGGUAAAGCUUGUGACUCUUGAUCUCAGGGUUGUGAGUUUGAGCCCCACGUUGGGUU
Molecule: non-coding RNA, 73 nt
Organism: Ailuropoda melanoleuca (giant panda)
Lineage: Eukaryota; Metazoa; Chordata; Mammalia; Carnivora; Ursidae
Source: Rfam